RNAcentral lists this ribosomal RNA (450 nucleotides) under Triticum aestivum (bread wheat). RNAcentral describes it as "partial small subunit ribosomal RNA". Lineage: Eukaryota; Viridiplantae; Streptophyta; Magnoliopsida; Poales; Poaceae. The record is from RNAcentral.
AUGACGAGGAUGCAAGGCUGUGCGCCUGUGGUGCACUCGUCGUCUUUUGAAGGGGAAAAGGAAGCAUCUUGGAAGGGGAGGCGCGGGAGCCAGGGGCACUUCGGGCACAUUGAUCCAAGAAACUGCCCAAGGAGAACGAACAUGCGCUGUGCCAGUCCACGCUGCGAAACAGAAUCGAUCAGCGACAAAAACGGGAGGUCCUUUUUUUUUGAGAAAACAAAACAAAAACAAAAACGGGAGGUCCUAAUCGGCGCUGGCGCUCACGCGCACGCACUAUGGGCCAGCUCAUCUAACCUCAGCCCGCACACCCCCGCGGCGCACUGGGCCGGCCCAUUUCCGUGUUUUUAUUUGGACCCCGAUAACGCGCGACCGUUCGGUCUGGGAGGACCCAAGACCGAACGUCACGUUCGGGACGGGAGGGUAAUGAGGAAAGUAUCGUUUUCCCCCUGA